GAGUUGCGAACGGGUGAGUAACGCGUAGGUAACCUGCCUGGUAGCGGGGGAUAACUAUUGGAAACGAUAGCUAAUACCGCAUGACAACAGUUAUUGCAUGAUAGCUGUUUAAAAGGGGCAAUUGCUCCACUACCAGAUGGACCUGCGUUGUAUUAGCUAGUUGGUGGGGUAACGGCUCACCAAGGCAACGAUACAUAGCCGACCUGAGAGGGUGAUCGGCCACACUGGGACUGAGACACGGCCCAGACUCC
This 251-nucleotide ribosomal RNA is filed under the name uncultured Streptococcus sp. RNAcentral describes it as "partial 16S ribosomal RNA". It matches the Rfam family "Bacterial small subunit ribosomal RNA", at positions 93 to 339 of the family's 1533-position model. Lineage: Bacteria; Bacillati; Bacillota; Bacilli; Lactobacillales; Streptococcaceae. The record is from RNAcentral.